CACACCAACUCCAGCACGCGUGACACGUGUGGGCGUGGUCAGGUAUUUAAACGCCAGACAACGAAGGCAAGACAUUUACCUGAGUUCUGACUCGCACUAUCUACACUCACGCCAUGAAAACGCUCGCAGUGAUACUUUUUCUUGGGGUUCUGCUGGGUGUCAGCAAGGCCGCCUCCCUCAGACAGCUGAUCGGACUGUGCGUGGAAGCGUGCUCCACUGUGGAGGCUGACGGCGAGGCCCUCUUUGGCUCUUGUCCAGAGGGAUACGUGUGUAGGUCCAACGGGUGUGGACACACUUGCCAGAAGCCUCUUACAUCAGUAAGUGGAGUCCAAUGCGCUCACCUGAUGUGUCCGGCCAUUUUCUGCUCUGGCGGUUACGAGGUUGCCGAGAAUGGCUGUCCGACCUGCCGGUGUCGCUCAGGGUUGGAGCUGAAGUGAAGACACGGCGCCAGUCGAGUGUCCCUUGCUGCGGUGCCUGGAUAUUUACUGUCCAUCCGGAUACUACAAAGACGCGCAAUGGUUGUCAGACCUGCAGAUGCCAGCCGUUCGUGGAGGCGCUUUAAUCAAAGCACCCGUCGCCACCCUCACUAAAAACCGGUAGUGACGUCACUACACCCUAAUGUCGUCUGCUGUAAGCAACGAGGUGCAAUAAAACGAGCACACUGAC
RNA transcript from Pomacea canaliculata, 666 nucleotides. RefSeq lists it as uncharacterized. NCBI's taxonomy places the organism in Eukaryota, Metazoa, Mollusca, Gastropoda, Architaenioglossa, Ampullariidae. The transcript is spliced from 4 exons. The record is from RefSeq and is a predicted model, not a curated record.